UGUUUCUUUAUUACUAAAACAAAUAGUUAAAUACUAUCUUUUAGGUUAGGUAUCGUUUUCUUACCAUAUGCUACUAGUUUAUUGAAAAGUAAUAGCCAAGAAAUAUCGACGGUUUGAUUACAAGAUUUUGAAUAAACAUGUAACACCCGUCUCAUUAACACUCGAGACCGGCGUGCUACUAAUCAACAACUUAUAUCUUAAAUCCGUAAAAAGGUCUGAAAGUCGACUUUCAUAUAAAUAACGAAAUAAAUCCAUAAAUCUCAUAGUCGAAAUAACUGAAAUAAUCGUCAAAAUAAUAAAUAAAGGUCUGAGAAAUAGAACAAAGGAAAACGCCUAAAAGCACCAGCUGUCCGAUCAAUCUCCUACUCAUCUGUCUCACCUGAAAGGGCAAAUGAGAGGUGAGUAACGAGGAAGUCACUCAGUGAGGUAUGAGAUACUAAACCCGAAGUCUAUGGACCCGGACAAAGCCCUCCGAAUAAAUAUAAUUUAAUCAUAACACGUUGCAAACACGGUAUCUAAAGUACCCAAAGAUCACACAACAGUCCUAGGGAGGUGCACAUUCGCUGCCCACUAACAGGCCAAAACACCACCGAAUAUGUGCUCAGUAACACACGCCCGUAGACGAUUUAUCGACCUCGAAGCCUUGGCACAACAUGUCGACUAAGCUGUGCCUCAGCAUACACCACAACCAAUGUACUGGUCUCCGAUACUAAUCAACAACUUAUAUCUUAAAUCCGUAAAAAGGUCUGAAAGUCGACUUUCAUAUAAAUAACGAAAUAAAUCCAUAAAUCUCAUAGUCGAAAUAACUGAAAUAAUCGUCAAAAUAAUAAAUAAAGGUCUGAGAAAUAGAACAAAGGAAAACGCCUA
RNAcentral lists this long non-coding RNA (867 nucleotides) under Brassica napus (rape). RNAcentral describes it as "long non-coding RNA (BNAP_LNC016424)". The record is from RNAcentral. Lineage: Eukaryota; Viridiplantae; Streptophyta; Magnoliopsida; Brassicales; Brassicaceae.